This 271-nucleotide ribosomal RNA is filed under the name uncultured bacterium. Its description in RNAcentral is "partial 16S ribosomal RNA". It matches the Rfam family "Bacterial small subunit ribosomal RNA", at positions 91 to 354 of the family's 1533-position model. The record is from RNAcentral.
CUUAGUGGCGGACGGGUGAGUAACGCGUGGGGAACCUGCCCUGUACCGGGGGAUAGCAGCCGGAAACGGCUGAUAAUACCGCAUAAGCGCACGAAUGUCGCAUGACAUGGUGUAGAAAAACUCCGGUGGUAUAGGAUGGACCCGCGUCUGAUUAGCCGGUUGGGUAGGGGUAAAAGCCUACCAAAGCGAAGAUCAGUAGCCGAGUUGAGAGACUGACCCGGCCACAGUUGGGACUUAGACACGGCCCAGACUCCUACGGGAGGCAGCAGAC